AAAGAGAGGGGAAGUUAGCUAGAGUCCAAGGAGUAAGUUCAUUGGCUUGAGGACGGGAAGAGGUUCUUGGCAAACGUUCAUUGGUUGAGGGCUAAGUUCCGGUUCUUGGUAAGUGAGUCAUUUACGGAAACAGUUUCUGAGUCUUUAAGUUUCUUUUCCUGAGGGCGCAUGCGUGAGAUUCUUGGUUUCACAUCCUCCGGUUCCAUUUUAUACUGAAAUAUUUUCACAGCAUGGCGGGGUAAUACGAUGACCGCUUUAAUGAGGUUAAAAUUAAUCAGUGGUGUGGCAGCCCAAAUAACACCCCUACUCUGCAAAGAUGUCUGCACCCUAAUCCCGAAACCUGUAAAUUUGUCAUGCUACUUGGCAAAAGGGACUCUGUAGAUGUAAUUAAGGUUGCAGACCUUCAGAUAGGGAGAGGAGCCAGGAUUGUCUGGGUGGGUUCAAGCUAGUCAUACGAGACCUUACAAGCAGAGUAUCUUUCCCAGCAGAAGUGAGAAGCGGCAGGAAAGAAAUACAGUAGGAGGCAGGCGGGAAGUCAGAGAGACUGUGAGCAUGAGAAAGGUUUGAUGUGCUGAUGCUGCUAUGAGAUGGGGCCGGAUCGAGGCCUCUAGGAGCUAAGGGCGGUACCCAGCUGACUGCCAGGAAAGAAAUUGCACCUCAGUCCUUCCACUCCAAGAAACUUUAUUCGGCCACCAAGCGGAAUGAAUUUGGAAGCGGGUUCUUCCCAGAGCCUCCCAAUUAUAGUCCGGGCGAGUUGACACCUUGCUUCUGGCCUUCUACCAUCUGCAGCAGAGAAACCAAUCAGACUAGCCCUGACUUUUCACCUACAGAAUGGUGAGCCCUGCUGCAAAUUAUUGCAAACUGCCCCAUCUUACCUCUACUGGUUAAGUGCCACCAUGGGAUCUCACCAUCUUCAUUGUAACAAAAGAGUCCAUUCAAUGGCAGUGCCUCCUGCCUUUAUCCAAGGUCCAUCCACUUUUCAAAGAAGAUGGUGCUCUGCUCGCCAAUGUAUUUCUCAAUCUUGUGGUGAAGAGGAUGUUCUUUUGGAAUUCUGGGGAGUUGACACCAUGACUAUCAGGUUAGCAGGUAUAUGCAACAUACUGAAUCCACUCUUCCAGAACCAGAUGACUCACCCGUCAUUAUUAUAGUUUAUUAUCCCCCUACCAUUGUGAUAAGCAAACCCAGAAGCCAUGAAUUGAAUGAUGGCAUCAAAAAAAUGGAAAGAGCUUGAAUCUCUGAAUGAUGUUAUGAAGCAGAAUCCUGCUCCGACCUCAUUGGAUAAUGAAUGAUUGAAUAAUAAACUUUUAUGUGUUAAGCC
This 1318-nucleotide long non-coding RNA is filed under the name Equus asinus (donkey). RNAcentral describes it as "lncRNA (ENSEASG00005037492.1)". Lineage: Eukaryota; Metazoa; Chordata; Mammalia; Perissodactyla; Equidae. The record is from RNAcentral.